UUAAUAUAAAAAAAACCAAAAAGAAAAAAAAAAGAGUCGUUACUAAAGAAAUAGUAUGCUUAAAUAAGCCAUACAAUCGGUAGUCAUUCACAUCAUUCCCAAGCACAUACUAAUAAAAACUUAAAGGUACUUCAAUUGCUUCGUAAACCUAUAAUAGUACAAACAAUUGUACGAGAAUGAGGUUGGCGACGAAACUCAGCUAACUGAAUGUCUUGCCAAGUACCCAAGCUCAACUUCCCAUUAGUAAUGGGAACAGUUAAACUAGGUCCAAUUAAGCUAGAUUUAACAUGAGCAGGCAUAUCGUCUAAUCCUUCUGCAGUAUGACGGUAGCCUGCUGAUUCAGGGACAAUUUUAUCCAAUAUAUCGUUCAUGUCAGCUCGCGUAUCUGCGUCCC
Non-coding RNA from Schizosaccharomyces pombe (fission yeast), 394 nucleotides. Lineage: Eukaryota; Fungi; Ascomycota; Schizosaccharomycetes; Schizosaccharomycetales; Schizosaccharomycetaceae. The record is from the annotation of a GenBank genome assembly.